AAAACUAAAAUGACUACUACCAAAGACUAAAAAACUAAAAAUCCUUAAAACUAGACUACAUGGAAGAAAGAAAUUAAUAUCAAUGAAAAAUGCUUCACUUUUAUUUCUUUAUAUAUUAUCUUACUUGGAGCUAUGUGAUAAUGUUUUAUAAGACCUUGUAGUUGUCACUUUACUUAUUCCAGAAGAAACCUCCUAGAAUAAACCUAUAUAGGGGAAUUCGAACACAGGGAAAGACCAUGUAUAUGAACUCCAAUUGUUGGGGUUACACAAUUAAUCGCUACUGCUGAAUGCUUACCAUAGCGAAGAAUACUUAACUUUUCCUCUUACUGUCCACUCUUUCAUAUCAAUACAAUAACAUCAACGACAAUGAUUUCAGUACCCUGUGUAAUUCACGAACACACAAGCAUAUCCCAAACCCUGGAACGAACAACUUCCAAUCCACAGAAUCUAAUCAAGAUAAUUCUUUCGAUUACAAUUCCUCUCCACUGAACCUACAACCUUGCGAUAAACAAUGAUUGGAAACUUCCAUACGUUCUCAAUCUUUCACAAUAACUGAUAAACAGUGAUCCAUAAAUAAAUUUGUAAAUCAAACAUUAAUUCAUUAAAUCGAUUCUCUUCACUAGAAUCAACACUAACACAAAAGAAACAAGAAAAUUAAGAAGAAGAGAUAGCACCAAGCUUAUCCCCGGCUCAGUACUAUCGUAGUCUGGCCUUUUCUUCCCUUCUCCCAUCCUCCUUAUACUACCUCGAGAUACCAACUCCUAUACUACAAAUGAUAACUACUUUUCUUGACUAUUCAUCCAUUCUACCUGCUGAACCAUCUUUUCAGUAAUUAUCUAUUCCUGUUUACACUAUAUACUAGGUAUCUACAUUCUGAAAAUAACUACUUAUUCUACAUAGCCCCACUCCUAAUUGUGCAGCGUCCCCACAAACACAGUAUUGAUAAACAAAAACCAAUCAUUUUUUUUUUUUAUAUAUAUAUUUUUUUUAACUGGAUUGUUCAAUCUCUUCGAUUUCUAGCGCUGGCUCCAUUUGGUCUUGUUCCAACACUAUAUCUUCUUCCUUCGACUUGUCCUGAAUCUCUAUCCUAAAUUGAGCUGUUAAAUCUUUAUUAUACUCUCCCAAUUCUUGAACCUGAGCUUCCAAUUGGAGGAUUUUGGCAUCUUUAGCUUCCAGUUGUUGUUGCGACUGUUGCAAUUUCUCCUCCAAUUUUCCAAUUCUUAUUCCUGUUGAGGCAAAUGUCUGUAACUGACCAAUAUUGACUAAAUCGCUCUCAAAUUUCAUUACUGUUUUCUUCAAAACAAUAAUUUCUGCCUAUAGUUCAUCCAUAUUGUUU
RNAcentral lists this long non-coding RNA (1336 nucleotides) under Physcomitrium patens. Its description in RNAcentral is "long non-coding RNA (PPAT_LNC011470)". The record is from RNAcentral. Lineage: Eukaryota; Viridiplantae; Streptophyta; Bryopsida; Funariales; Funariaceae.